GCCGAAGUGGUGAAAUGGCAGACACGCUACGUUCAGGUCGUAGUGCUCGCAAGGGCGUGCGGGUUCAAAUCCCGCUUUCGGCACCA
RNAcentral lists this transfer RNA (86 nucleotides) under Ktedonobacterales bacterium. RNAcentral describes it as "tRNA-Leu". It matches the Rfam family "tRNA". From Rfam's summary of the family: Transfer RNA (tRNA) molecules are approximately 80 nucleotides in length. The record is from RNAcentral. Lineage: Bacteria; Bacillati; Chloroflexota; Ktedonobacteria; Ktedonobacterales.